ACUUGGAGUGAUGAAAGCUUCACCUUAGGUGGAUGCAACAUGCCGUUUUGGUUGUUACUGCAUCUGCCAAUGCUGGGGUUUGUCAUAGUUACACUGACCACGU
This is a small nucleolar RNA of Nothoprocta perdicaria, 103 nucleotides long. Lineage: Eukaryota; Metazoa; Chordata; Aves; Tinamiformes; Tinamidae. The record is from Ensembl.